RNAcentral lists this transfer RNA (75 nucleotides) under Blastochloris viridis. RNAcentral describes it as "tRNA-Thr". It matches the Rfam family "tRNA". Rfam says of the family: Transfer RNA (tRNA) molecules are approximately 80 nucleotides in length. Their secondary structure includes four short double-helical elements and three loops (D, anti-codon, and T loops). Further hydrogen bonds mediate the characteristic L-shaped molecular structure. tRNAs have two regions of fundamental functional importance: the anti-codon, which is responsible for specific mRNA codon recognition, and the 3' end, to which the tRNAs corresponding amino acid is attached (by aminoacyl-tRNA synthetases). tRNAs cope with the degeneracy of the genetic code in two manners: having more than one tRNA (with a specific anti-codon) for a particular amino acid; and 'wobble' base-pairing, i.e. permitting non-standard base-pairing at the 3rd anti-codon position. RNAcentral also lists the same sequence under 3 other names. The record is from RNAcentral. Lineage: Bacteria; Pseudomonadati; Pseudomonadota; Alphaproteobacteria; Hyphomicrobiales; Blastochloridaceae.
GCCGGCUUAGCACAGUGGUAGUGCAGCGGUUUUGUAAACCGAAGGUCACGAGUUCGAAUCUUGUAGCCGGCACCA